GACGAACGCUGGCGGCGUGCUUAACACAUGCAAGUCGAACGGAAAGGCCCUGCUUUUGUGGGGUGCUCGAGUGGCGAACGGGUGAGUAACACGUGAGUAACCUGCCCUUGACUUUGGGAUAACUUCAGGAAACUGGGGCUAAUACCGGAUAGGAGCUCCUGCUGCAUGGUGGGGGUUGGAAAGUUUCGGCGGUUGGGGAUGGACUCGCGGCUUAUCAGCUUGUUGGUGGGGUAGUGGCUUACCAAGGCUUUGACGGGUAGCCGGCCUGAGAGGGUGACCGGCCACAUAGGGACUGAGGUACGGCCCAGACGCCUACGGGGGGCAGGAGUGGGGAAUAUUGCACGAUGGGCGGAGGGCGGAUGCAGCAACGCCGCGUGCGGGAGGACGGCCUUCGGGUUGUAAGCCGCUUUCGCCUGUGACGAAGCGUGAGUGACUGUAAUGGGUAAAGAAGCACCGGCUAACUACGU
RNAcentral lists this ribosomal RNA (467 nucleotides) under uncultured bacterium. RNAcentral describes it as "partial 16S ribosomal RNA". It matches the Rfam family "Bacterial small subunit ribosomal RNA", at positions 28 to 506 of the family's 1533-position model. The record is from RNAcentral.